UUAUUAUUCAUCUCUUUCACAUAUACUAUAUUUUUUUUGACUAUUUAUUACACUAUUACCCCGUUCUCGUUUCUAUUAUUUUUUUUUUUAAUUCACGAUAAAUUAGAGGUGUUCGAAGGUUAGGCUGGGUCGGGCUGGGCUAAGGCCAAAAAUCCAACCCAGUUGGCUGUGUAGGGUCAGACCAAAGGUCGGGCAAAAAAUUUUGCCCAAAACCUUCAAAAUUAAAUUGGGUUAAGCGGGCUUUUUGGAUUUUUUUUCAGGCCGGUCUAUAAAAUUAACUAAAAAGCUUAGAAAUUCAUGCUCAAAGGCCGCGAAAAGUUUAAGAAAAAAUCAAGUCAGGCAGGGCCUGACUCGACUUCGUUGAUAAUUUCUUCCCAUAACCAGCACAAAAUCGGGCCAGGCCGGACUUAACUUGAUCAACUUUACGAUAAAUCCCACUUACGCAACUACUCUAGAUACAAUUUGUUAGAACUAUGUGUCAAUCAAAUCAACGCACUUGUUUUAAAUCGGGAAGAGCCCUUUGAAACAGAAAAAAUAGUUGUAUUAAAAGGUGUAAUAAGGAUAUUACUUAAAAGAACACCCUUCUGGCCUUCUCCCUAAAUUAGGAAAAAAGAAAGUCCUAAUAACAGAGUGAGCUACAAAGCUACAGCAUACCUUCGAUAACAUACCCUCGAUUCUACUCUUCAAAUGAAAAGUAGUCACCAUAUAUUAAAGAAUAAAGUAACUUAUCAAUAAUACAAGUUGGUAUUUCGGUUACUUAUACUAUGACGCAAAGUAUUAAACACCAAAUUAUUUUAUACCAACAAAAAAAAAACAUCAGUCAACCUUAACAAACCCAAUAAUAAAAAAUAAAUAAGAAAUUUAACAGAAAAUAAAAAAUAUAAUAAUAAGGUCGAAAAGUCCAAUAUAGAAAUUAAAUUAGUGAAUGAUUCUCACAUUCCCACUACCACCUUCUCAAAACAUUCAUUUUUUUUGAACUUAUAAAUACUUAAUUAUCAACCCAUCCUCUAAUAAACAUCCCCUGUUUCUUUCUCUCUCUGUUUCCAACAUUUUUGUCUCUCUGUUUUUUCCCACAUUUAUAUUUAAUCACCCCUUUUUAACAAAAAAUAGGUAACCCUCUAAACCCAACGAAUAUAACAUUGCCAUUUUCAUCAAGGUUUUUCAAUACAUGCAACAUUUAUAUAUCGGGAUUAGAUUUUGAUAUCCCAAGCCUAAGUGAACGGUACAAUUCAGGAACUUACAAAGUUAAGAGAAGAAGAAGAUGAAUUAUUUGAGUUUAGCUUUAAUUAUUACAAUAAUGGCAAUGGAGUUGUUCUUGGUCUCUCAUUGUUAUGCCAGAAGAACCCAUGGAAAACACGUAAAUGAUGACCAUACAUCUCCUGAAGUCUCCUUGAUCGUCAAGGACAAAGAGGCAAGUCUUCUCAUUAUUUUUGUUGUGCAUUUUUAAUUUAGAGGCGUAAAUUCAAAUGUCCAGGUCGGGUUUGGGUUUGGGUUCGGAUUUGGUGAGGCUGAGUCGGGUUGGGUCUGAUUUCAAAAUUGAGUCAUGUUAAAUUAUUAUGUCCGUAUGAGUUGAAAUCUGAAUCGAAUAUUUUUUGGAUCGGGUCAAGUUUUGACACUUCUACUUUUAAUUUAUAUCAUUUUAUUUUAUGCUAUGCUUAAUUGCCUACAAGCACCAAGUAGUAUUGAUCUAGUAAUAAGGAGUGUACUCGUACUAUCUUACAACUAUAAAUAUGUAGGAUCAAUCCUCACUAGGGUUAGCUUGGGGGGUAGAUGGAGAUUUUUUUUACCCUUUCCUUCACUUCUAAGAAGUUUUGCCCACUAAUCUAGAUCGGGUUGUCAUGUGAGAGCGAGAGCGAGGUUUUGAUCCUAUAGAUUGCACUUUAUACCUACUAAAAAAAAUGGUCUACAAACACGCAAUUCCUAUCUUUCUUAAUAAAUGUAUCAUUUUAACUUUUACAUUAUUUACAUAAUAACUUUGACUAUACAUCAUUACGGAAUAAUACACGGUAAUUGCAAUCGCAUAAAAGGUUACACUUUCUUUGUUAUAGAUUGCACUUUAUACCUGCUAAAAAAUGAUAUGCAAACAACAUGCAAUCCUCCGUGUUUUUUUUUGUAAGUGUUAUACCUAAUUUUUUGGCAUGCAAAAAACUACAUUUUCAUAUUAUAUAUCUUCUCUAUAGUCAUUACCCAAAAUCAUUUUUUUUAAUAUUAUAUAUUUCCUCUCUCAUUCAUUAAUUUAUAAUAAA
Long non-coding RNA from Chenopodium quinoa (quinoa), 2246 nucleotides. RefSeq lists it as uncharacterized. The record is from RefSeq and is a predicted model, not a curated record. The transcript has 3 exons. NCBI's taxonomy places the organism in Eukaryota, Viridiplantae, Streptophyta, Magnoliopsida, Caryophyllales, Amaranthaceae.